RNAcentral lists this ribosomal RNA (229 nucleotides) under uncultured bacterium. Its description in RNAcentral is "partial 16S ribosomal RNA". It matches the Rfam family "Bacterial small subunit ribosomal RNA", at positions 568 to 796 of the family's 1533-position model. The record is from RNAcentral.
UCCGUAGGUGGAUAAUUAAGUCAGAGGUGAAAGCCCGCAGCUCAACUGUGGAAUUGCCUUUGAUACUGUUAGACUUGAAUCAGGUUGAGGUUGGCGGAAUGUGGCAUGUAGCGGUGAAAUGCAUAGAUAUGCCAUAGAACACCAAUUGCGAAGGCAGCUGACUAGACCUGUAUUGACGCUGAGGCACGAAAGCGUGGGGAGCGAACAGGAUUAGAUACCCUGGUAGUCC